AAUAGAUACCCGGGUAGUCCACGCCCUAAACGAUGUCUACUAGUUGUCGGGUUUUAAUUAACUUGGUAACGCAGCUAACGCGUGAAGUAGACCGCCUGGGGAGUACGGUCGCAAGAUUAAAACUCAAAGGAAUUGACGGGGACCCGCACAAGCGGUGGAUGAUGUGGAUUAAUUCGAUGCAACGCGAAAAACCUUACCUACCCUUGACAUGGAAGGAAUCCUGGAGAGAUCUGGGAGUGCCCGAAAGGGAACCUUCACACAGGUGCUGCAUGGCUGUCGUCAGCUCGUGUCGUGAGAUGUUGGGUUAAGUCCCGCAGCGAGCGCAACCCUUGUCAUUAGUUGCUACGCAAGAGCACUCUAAUGAGACUGCCGGUGACAAACCGGAGGAAGGUGGGGAUGACGUCAAGUCCUCAUGGCCCUUAUGGGUAGGGCUUCACACGUCAUACAAUGGUACAUACAGAGGGCCGCCAACCCGCGAGGGGGAGCUAAUCCCAGAAAGUGUAUCGUAGUCCGGAUUGUAGUCUGCAACUCGACUAC
RNAcentral lists this ribosomal RNA (537 nucleotides) under uncultured bacterium. RNAcentral describes it as "bacterial SSU rRNA". It matches the Rfam family "Bacterial small subunit ribosomal RNA", at positions 777 to 1319 of the family's 1533-position model. The record is from RNAcentral.